AUUCUUAUUAUUGGUGUUGGUAGUUGUGGUUGUUGUCAGAUCGCAUUUCAAAUGAAUCUAUACGUUUUCUUUUACUUUCUCCGGCGUGUGCGUGGGCUCAGAUGCCAAGGAAGUCUUUGAACCAGCGCAUACGUAACCAUUUCAUGCAAUUUACCGUAAAUUCUGUCUCUUUUUAUACAAUUUACUGUACAAUUCCCUGUCGCCUUCGUAUCUCGUUCGUUUAGUUAUAUAUAAACUUGUGCUAACAAUAUUAUUUCAUCAGCCAAGAAGAGAUUCCGUAAGAGAAAAUAAAGUUUUGAGUCGUUUUAUUUUCUUAAAUAUGUCUGUGGCUUCAGUCGGCAUGGGUACCCUGAGAACGGCAUUUCAAAUGCUGUUUGAUGCUGUAAAAUCAGUGCAGGAGGAGACUACUAUGUUCAAGCGCCUCCUUGGAGACAUCAAAUCCACACUGGAAUCUCUACAGCCAGUCAUCCAAGAGAUUGAAAAAUAUAACUCGAAAGAGCGACUGAAAUAUUUUGCAGUACAAAUGGAGAAGGGAGCAGAUCUUGUUCAAAAGUGCAGCAAAGUUGGCGUGUGGGGAAAAUGCAAAUACGCCAAGAAGCUCCAUCAACUGGAAAAAUCUCUUCGAAGAGUGUUUGAUGCGCUCAAACUGCAGGGCGUAAGGGAUGCGAGGGAGGCGUUGAUUUCUCUCAGGAAUAUCGAGACGGCGUUCUCUCGAAUAGAAAAGAAUUUGGUGAUGAAAAGAAAUCAACCUGAAACGGUUAAAUGUUCGCCUGCGGUGCCUGAACCCCCAUCCGUUACAGUCGGGUUGGAUUUGCCGUUGAAGGAGUUGAAGAUGAAGCUCCUUAAGGAUGAAAAGGUGUCGAUGCUUGUGCUGACUGCUGCUGGGGGAUGUGGGAAAACAACCUUGGCUAAAAAAUUUUGUCAAGAUCAAGAAGUCAAAGAUACAUUCAAGAACAACAUCUUCUUUGUCAAUGUCUCGAAAAGGCCCAACUUGGACCUUAUUGUACAUGAACUAUAUCAACUGAAGGGGUCCGAGCUGCCUGCUUUCCAAAACGAAUUCAUGGCAGUUAAUUUGUUGCAACAAUUUUUGAAGAAAGCAACAGACAAUCCUCUGUUGUUUGUCCUGGAUGACGUUUGGUCAGGAUCAGAGUCCCUUCUUGAUAAGUUUGAUCAAUUCAAGUUUUCAAAUUACAAGAUUUUGGUCACAUCAAGAUUUGCAUUUCCGAGAUUUGGUUCUCCGUACCAUUUGGCAUUAUUGAAUGAUGAGGAUGCAAUGGCUCUUUUUCACCAUUCAGCAUCCUUGAAGGAUGAGAGCUCUUAUACUGCCGAAGAUCUUUCGAGAAAGAUUAUGAAGCGCUGUAAGGGAUGGCCACUUGCCAUUGCAUUGGUCGGGAGGUCACUUCGUGGCCAGCCUAAAGAAAUCUGGCAGAAAAGAAUACUGGAAUGGAGCAAAGGUUCUUCCAUUCUUGAUACUGAAAAGGAUUUGCUUGCUUGCCUCCAGAGCAGCUUAGAUGCCUUGGAUAAAGAAAAGACUAUGAUCAAGGAGUGUUUCCUCGACCUAGGUUCAUUUCCCGAGGACCAAAGAAUCUCUGCUGCCACCCUCAUUGACAUGUGGGCGGAGUUAUAUGGUCUAGAUGAAGAAAUUCUGACCAUUGCCAACCUUCACGAGCUCACCACCCGAAGUUUGGCGAAUCUUGUUGUCACAAGGCAUGAGAAGGAGGCGGAUGGCUAUUACACCGAACACUUCGUCACCCAGCAUGACAUGCUUAGGGAGUUGGCGAUCCAUCAGGUGAUUCAAGACCCAAUAGAACAGAGGAAAAGGCUAGUUAUAAACAUAUGUGGGGACAACCUUCCUAAGUGGUUGACAGAACAAAAGUAUCAAGCGUCCAAGGCUCGACUAUUAUCUAUCUCAACAGAUGGAGCCUUCUCAGCAAAAUGGCCAAACUUGCAAGUACCCGAAGCAGAGGUUCUAGUUCUGAAUUUUCAAACAAAGAACUAUGCCUUACCUCAGUUCGUGGAGAAAAUGGAUAAACUAAAGGUUCUAAUAACAACAAAUUACGGUUUGUCACCUGCUGGACUAGAUAAUUUUGAACUACUUGCUUCGUUAUCAAAUCUUAAGAGAAUAAGAUUAGAACGUAUUUCAAUUCCCUCCAUAAGCAAGGUCCUCAAACCUGUGAAAAGUCUGCAAAAGAUAUCAUUUUUCAUGUGUGAUAUCGGUCAAGGUUUCAACGACUGUUCCAUUUCAAUCUCAUCAGCAUUCCCAAAUCUAGAAGAAAUGAACAUCGACUAUUGCAGUGAUUUAAUUGAAUUGCCUGCCAGACUUUGUGAUCUUAGUAAACUAAAGAAGCUCAGUAUCACUAAUUGUCAUAAGCUAUCUGCCUUGCCCGAAGGGAUUGGAAAGUUGGAAAAUUUAGAAAUGCUGAGGCUAAGAUCCUGCACAGAACUGUCGAAGCUCCCAACCUCAAUGAAGAACCUUGGAAAGUUAAAAUUUCUUGAUAUAUCUGAUUGCUUUGGCAUAAAGGUGUUGCCCAAAGACAUUGGUGAAAUGAGUAGUUUAAGAAAGAUCAAUAUGAGACAAUGCUCAAGGUUGCAAGAGCUGCCUCCAUCAGUCAUGGAUCUUGAGCAGUUAGAGGAAGUGGUCUGUGAUGAACAGACAAAAUAUUUAUGGGAAUCUUUCUUGUCGUGUCUCAACAACGUAAGGAUAAUUGUGGCCAAAGAGAAUAUCAACCUAAAUUGGCUCCAAAAGACUCAGUUCUGACACAUGUUUCCUCAAUGUACGUUGCUCUUAAACCUCUGUGUGGUUUGCGUUUUUUAUGGGGCUUUUUAAACUAUGAUGUUUAGAGACCUUGGCUACUGUCCAGAAAAAUGGUUUGGUAGGAAACAAAGAGAAUGUUGUGAUUCAAAAUCAAGAAGGAUUUCAUGAUUGGGGUCAGUUCCUGAACCUCCAAUGUUACAGUUGGAUUGGAUGAGCCUUUGAGGGAGUUGAAGAAGACGGGAAAACCACAUUGGCAAUGAAAUUAUGUCAAGAUGAGGAAGUCAAAGAUGGUAAGCCUGCAGAUACUAAACCUUUGUAAGGGAGUUCGGCUUGCCAUUACAGUGACUGGGAAAUCACUUCGUGGACAAGCUGCAGAAUUCUAGUGUUCAAGACUAGCAGACUGUUGUAAAGGUUUUGUUGUUGGUUCUAAGACUGAGUUGCUUCUUUGACUUCAAAGUAGCAUAGAUGCCUUGGAUGGCAAAGAGGCUAUCAUGAGGGAAUGUUUCAGACCUUGUUUCAUUUCCUGAAGAUCAAAGAAUCUCUGCUGCCGCUUUCAUUGAUACGUGGGCAGAGUUAUAUAAGCUAGGAAGGAGAACAUAGAGAUUCUGGAUGACUACUACAUCAAAUACUUUGUUAGCCAGCUUGAUAUGCUUGGAAAGCUGGCUAUCCACAGAGUGAACCUAGACUUGAUAGAAGAUAGAAAAAGACUGAUUAUCGAAAGUGGACACAAUCAACCCAAGUGGUUGAUGGAGCAGAAGUCUCAACCCAUCAAUGCACGCCUAUUAUCUAUCUCCUCUGAUGGAAUGUUCUCAACACAAUGGCAGAGUGUUCAUAGGCAGAGUGUUCAUCUACCACAAGUUGAGGUUCUAGUUUUGAAUUUUAAGACAAAGAACAAUGCCUUACCUGAAUUUGUGCAGAAAGUUGACAAACUGAAGGUUCUAAUAGUCACAAACUAUGGUUUAAAUCAGAUUAGAGCGCAUUUCAAUUCAUUCCAUAGCCAAGAACUUCAUUGCAUUGAAGAGUAAAGAAGAUAUCUUUAUUCAUGUGUAACAUGGGUCAAGCUUUCCGCAAUUGUUCCAUCAAAAUUUCAGAUGCCUGGCCAGGUAUAGAGGAAAUGAAUAUAGACUAUUGCCAUGAUUUGGUGGAACUGCCUGCCGAGCUCUAUGAUCUUGUUCAUAUGAAGAUGCACAGUAUCACCAACUGUCAUAAGCUAUCUGCCUUGCCUGAAGAGAUCGGAAAGCUGGAGAAUUUUGAAGUAUUGAGACUAAGGUCCUGUACAGACUUGGUAAGGCUUCUGGUCUCUAUUGAGAACCUCACUAAGUUGUGCCAUCUUGACAUGUAUAAUUUUUUCGGCAUUAAGAAAUUGACUGAAGGCAUUGGUCAUAUGAGCGGUUUAAGAAAGAUCAACAUGGGACAACGCUCAAGAUUGGAAGAGUUUCCUCUGUCAGUGUGGGAUCUUCACGAGCAGUCAGAGGAAGUGAUUUGUGAUGAAGAGAAGAAACAUUUGUGGGAAUCCUUCUUAGCCAGAGACAAAAUCAAGGUGGCAAAAGAAAAAACCAAUCUGAAUUGGCUCGAAAAGCCUUAGCUGUUAUACCUGUCUUUCCUCGAUAAAUGUUGGAGCAACGUUUUUUUGAUUUGUGUUGCAUUGUUUUCUUUAAUUUGUAUUUUCUUGUUGGAUUUUUCUUGUUUGAUUUCGUUUUUAGUUCUGUCUAAUUUCGAAGUUUCA
Molecule: RNA transcript, 4481 nt
Organism: Pyrus x bretschneideri (Chinese white pear)
Lineage: Eukaryota; Viridiplantae; Streptophyta; Magnoliopsida; Rosales; Rosaceae
Gene name: probable disease resistance protein At5g66890
Exons: 8
Source: RefSeq, a predicted model, not a curated record